UCAUUUGUCUUUCUUUACGUU
Molecule: non-coding RNA, 21 nt
Filed under: Caenorhabditis elegans
Lineage: Eukaryota; Metazoa; Nematoda; Chromadorea; Rhabditida; Rhabditidae
Source: RNAcentral